Molecule: long non-coding RNA, 746 nt
Filed under: Prunus dulcis (almond)
Lineage: Eukaryota; Viridiplantae; Streptophyta; Magnoliopsida; Rosales; Rosaceae
Description: sRNA ncRNA
Source: RNAcentral
ACAGUUCCUCUUCCAAUCUUAGUAUGGUUCUAUACUCUUGCCAAACAACUAUUUGGAAAACUUAACUUCCAAAUUGCAGAACUAACAAGGUAUGGUCCCCGAAUUGGAAUUGCCGUGUCAAUGAUUUUUGGAAUUCUAUGCUCAAUCACAGCUGCAAAAGUGGAGACACGAAGGCUGGGUGUGGUUAAGAGCCACGGUCUAAUCGACAAGCCUGAGGAAACGGUUCCCAUGAGCAUGUUUUGGUUGCUUCCACAGUUUCUUCUCCUUGGAGGCCUUGAAGGGAUUGCAGAAAGUAGCAUUGAUUCGUUCUUAGUUAAGCAAGUCCCUCCAUCCAUUGAUCAGUGCAUGGUUCGGUUUUGUGUUGCUUUUUUGGGAAUGGGGAGUAUAGGCGGUGUCUUGUCUGUUUAUGUAGUGGGUGAGAUAAGUGGACAGGGAGGGAAACCCAGUUGGUUCCAAGACACCCUAAACAAGAGUCGCUUGGAUCAUUAUUACUGGACCUUGGCUGCAUUGUCCGCAGUUAAUCUUGUUCUCUAUGUUUUGGUGAGCUUUUGGUAUGCUUACAAGGAUUCCAGGUCGGAGGAUGAUGAAACUGCUGAGCCAUUUGAUGAGGAUCAUGUGCAACUCAUUUGAUAAUGACAAUGUGCAACUCUGCCACGCAUAAUUUUGUAUCUACGAUUUCUAUAACAUGUCUCUUAUAUCUUUUCUUGGACGAGAUUAUGUGAUUACAUUUCCACAGCUGUGAUGAG